RNAcentral lists this ribosomal RNA (1416 nucleotides) under Staphylococcus aureus. RNAcentral's name for it is "bacterial SSU rRNA". It matches the Rfam family "Bacterial small subunit ribosomal RNA". Lineage: Bacteria; Bacillati; Bacillota; Bacilli; Caryophanales; Staphylococcaceae. The record is from RNAcentral.
UGGGAUAACUUCGGGAAACCGGAGCUAAUACCGGAUAAUAUUUUGAACCGCAUGGUUCAAAAGUGAAAGACGGUCUUGCUGUCACUUAUAGAUGGAUCCGCGCUGCAUUAGCUAGUUGGUAAGGUAACGGCUUACCAAGGCAACGAUGCAUAGCCGACCUGAGAGGGUGAUCGGCCACACUGGAACUGAGACACGGUCCAGACUCCUACGGGAGGCAGCAGUAGGGAAUCUUCCGCAAUGGGCGAAAGCCUGACGGAGCAACGCCGCGUGAGUGAUGAAGGUCUUCGGAUCGUAAAACUCUGUUAUUAGGGAAGAACAUAUGUGUAAGUAACUGUGCACAUCUUGACGGUACCUAAUCAGAAAGCCACGGCUAACUACGUGCCAGCAGCCGCGGUAAUACGUAGGUGGCAAGCGUUAUCCGGAAUUAUUGGGCGUAAAGCGCGCGUAGGCGGUUUUUUAAGUCUGAUGUGAAAGCCCACGGCUCAACCGUGGAGGGUCAUUGGAAACUGGAAAACUUGAGUGCAGAAGAGGAAAGUGGAAUUCCAUGUGUAGCGGUGAAAUGCGCAGAGAUAUGGAGGAACACCAGUGGCGAAGGCGACUUUCUGGUCUGUAACUGACGCUGAUGUGCGAAAGCGUGGGGAUCAAACAGGAUUAGAUACCCUGGUAGUCCACGCCGUAAACGAUGAGUGCUAAGUGUUAGGGGGUUUCCGCCCCUUAGUGCUGCAGCUAACGCAUUAAGCACUCCGCCUGGGGAGUACGACCGCAAGGUUGAAACUCAAAGGAAUUGACGGGGACCCGCACAAGCGGUGGAGCAUGUGGUUUAAUUCGAAGCAACGCGAAGAACCUUACCAAAUCUUGACAUCCUUUGACAACUCUAGAGAUAGAGCCUUCCCCUUCGGGGGACAAAGUGACAGGUGGUGCAUGGUUGUCGUCAGCUCGUGUCGUGAGAUGUUGGGUUAAGUCCCGCAACGAGCGCAACCCUUAAGCUUAGUUGCCAUCAUUAAGUUGGGCACUCUAAGUUGACUGCCGGUGACAAACCGGAGGAAGGUGGGGAUGACGUCAAAUCAUCAUGCCCCUUAUGAUUUGGGCUACACACGUGCUACAAUGGACAAUACAAAGGGCAGCGAAACCGCGAGGUCAAGCAAAUCCCAUAAAGUUGUUCUCAGUUCGGAUUGUAGUCUGCAACUCGACUACAUGAAGCUGGAAUCGCUAGUAAUCGUAGAUCAGCAUGCUACGGUGAAUACGUUCCCGGGUCUUGUACACACCGCCCGUCACACCACGAGAGUUUGUAACACCCGAAGCCGGUGGAGUAACCUUUUAGGAGCUAGCCGUCGAAGGUGGGACAAAUGAUUGGGGUGAAGUCGUAACAAGGUAGCCGUAUCGGAAGGUGCGGCUGGAUCACCUCCUUUCUAAGGA